CCUACGGGAGGCAGCAGUAAGGAAUAUUGGUCAAUGGACGCAAGUCUGAACCAGCCAUGCCGCGUGAAGGAUUAAGGCCCUCUGGGUUGUAAACUUCUUUUAUAGGGGACGAAAAAAGGGCAUUCUUGCUCACUUGACGGUACCCUAGGAAUAAGCACCGGCUAACUCCGUGCCAGCAGCCGCGGUAAUACGGAGGGUGCAAGCGUUAUCCGGAUUUACUGGGUUUAAAGGGUGCGUAGGUGGGUUGGUAAGUCAGUGGUGAAAUCUUCGAGCUUAACUCGGAAACUGCCAUUGAUACUAUCAAUCUUGAAUCAUCUAGAGGUAAGCGGAAUAUGUCAUGUAGCGGUGAAAUGCUUAGAUAUGACAUAGAACACCAAUUGCGAAGGCAGCUUACUAUGGAUGCAUUGACACUGAGGCACGAAAGCGUGGGGAUCAAACAGGAUUAGAUACCCUGGUAGUCCACGCCCUAAACGAUGGAUACUCGACAUUUGUGAUAUACAAUAAGUGUCUGAGCGAAAGCAUUAAGUAUCCACCUGGGAAGUACGACGCAAGGUUGAAACUCAAAGAUAGAG
Molecule: ribosomal RNA, 572 nt
Filed under: uncultured bacterium
Lineage: Bacteria
Description: bacterial SSU rRNA
Rfam family: Bacterial small subunit ribosomal RNA
Source: RNAcentral